GUGUCAGCAGCCGCGGUAAUACGUAGGGGGCAAGCGUUGUCCGGAAUUAUUGGGCGUAAAGCGCGUGUAGGCGGUUCGAUAAGUCUGCUGUAAAAGUCAAGGGCUCAACCCUUGAAAGCCGGUGGAUACUGUCGAACUAGAGUACGGAAGAGGCGAGUGGAAUUCCUGGUGUAGCGGUGAAAUGCGCAGAUAUCAGGAGGAACACCUAUUGCGAAGGCAGCUCGCUGGGACGUUACUGACGCUGAGACGCGAAAGCGUGGGGAGCAAACAGGAUUAGAAACCCUGGUAGUCC
This 292-nucleotide ribosomal RNA is filed under the name uncultured bacterium. RNAcentral's name for it is "partial 16S ribosomal RNA". It matches the Rfam family "Bacterial small subunit ribosomal RNA", at positions 505 to 796 of the family's 1533-position model. The record is from RNAcentral.